GGCGAGUGAAGCGGCAAAAGCUCAAAUUUGAAAUCUGGUACCUUCGGUGCCCGAGUUGUAAUUUGAAGAUAGUUUUCUGGCACUGGUCCUUGUCUAUGUUCCUUGGAACAGGACGUCAUGGAGGGUGAGAAUCCCGUUUGAUGGGGAAUCCAGUGCUUUGUAGAUUUCUAUCGAAGAGUCGAGUUGUUUGGGAAUGCAGCUCUAAGUGGGUGGUAAAUUCCAUCUAAAGCUAAAUACUGGCGAGAGACCGAUAGCGAACAAGUACAGUGAUGGAAAGAUGAAAAGAACUUUGAAAAGAGAGUGAAAAAGUACGUGAAAUUGUUGAAAGGGAAGGGUAUUGGAUCAGACUUGGUGUUUUGUGAUUAUCUUCCUCUUGUAGGUUGUGCACUCGCAUUUCACCGGGCCAGCAUCGGUUUGUUUGGCAGGAUAAUGGUACCAGGAACGUGGCUCAUUUUGAGUGUUAUAGCCUGUGUUCAGAUGCUGCCUAAAUAGACCGAGGACUGCGGCUUUUAGCCU
RNAcentral lists this ribosomal RNA (516 nucleotides) under Cyberlindnera sp. Eca44. RNAcentral's name for it is "eukaryotic LSU rRNA". It matches the Rfam family "Eukaryotic large subunit ribosomal RNA", at positions 88 to 608 of the family's 3401-position model. The record is from RNAcentral. Lineage: Eukaryota; Fungi; Ascomycota; Saccharomycetes; Phaffomycetales; Wickerhamomycetaceae. RNAcentral also lists the same sequence under 1 other name.